ACCCUUGACCACGGUAUAGUCAGCGACUGGGGUGAAGUCGUAACAAGGUAGCCGUAGGGGAACCUGCGGCUGGAUUACCUCCUUUCUAAGGAUGAAUGAAAGUAAAAUUUCAUUCUAAAUAAUAUACAUCGGUAAUGUUGACCGUCCUCAUUUCUCUUCUUAAAGUAAUGUUUCCUUCUUGUAGGGCCGGUAGCUCAGUUGGUUAGAGCACACCCUUGAUAAGGGUGGGGUCGAAAGUUCGAGUCUUUCUCGGCCCACCAUACUUAACUGGGGGAUUAGCUCAGCUGGGAGAGCGCCUGAUUUGCAUUCAGGAGGUCAGCGGUUCGAUCCCGCUAUCCUCCACCAGGAAACAUUUAGUUAUAAAAAUUGUAAAUAAAAAUAAUAAUUAAUAUCAAUAUCUAUAUCCGAACAUUAGUAAUGUUAUUAGCUAAUGUUCAAAAUAAAAAUUUGAUCACAACAUAGAUAAAUUUUCUGUUAAAAGAAUUUUUUUCUGUGCAUAAAUCAAGCGUUUAAGGGCGUGUAGUGGAUGCCUUGGCACUGAAAGCCGAUGAAGGACGUGAUAUACUGCGAUAAGUUUCGGGGAGCUGUAUGUAAGUUUUGAUCCGAAAAUU
RNAcentral lists this unclassified non-coding RNA (611 nucleotides) under uncultured marine bacterium. RNAcentral's name for it is "partial contains 16S ribosomal RNA, 16S-23S ribosomal RNA intergenic spacer, and 23S ribosomal RNA". The stretch from base 500 to 611 matches the Rfam family "Bacterial large subunit ribosomal RNA", at positions 1 to 112 of the family's 2925-position model. The record is from RNAcentral.